RNAcentral lists this unclassified non-coding RNA (344 nucleotides) under soil metagenome. RNAcentral's name for it is "partial contains 5.8S ribosomal RNA, internal transcribed spacer 2, and large subunit ribosomal RNA". The stretch from base 5 to 118 matches the Rfam family "5.8S ribosomal RNA", at positions 40 to 154 of the family's 154-position model. The record is from RNAcentral.
GAUGAGAACGUAGCGAAAUGCGAUACGUAAUGUGAAUUGCAAAUUCAGUGAAUCAUCGAGUCUUUGAACGCACAUUGCGCCCCCUGGUAUUCCGGGGGGCAUGCCUGUCCGAGCGUCAUUGCUGCCCUCAAGCACGGCUUGUGUGUUGGGCCCCGUCCUCCGAUCCCGGGGGACGGGCCCGAAAGGCAGCGGCGGCACCGCGUCCGGUCCUCGAGCGUAUGGGGCUUUGUCACCCGCUCUGUAGGCCCGGCCGGCGCUUGCCGAUCAACCCAAAUUUUUAUCCAGGUUGACCUCGGAUCAGGUAGGGAUACCCGCUGAACUUAAGCAUAUCAAUAAGCGGAGGA